Molecule: long non-coding RNA, 319 nt
Organism: Poecile atricapillus (Black-capped chickadee)
Lineage: Eukaryota; Metazoa; Chordata; Aves; Passeriformes; Paridae
Exons: 3
Source: RefSeq, a predicted model, not a curated record
UAUACUCCAAUGGGGACAUGAAAGGAGUGAUACCAGUCUGCUGUGGAUUGACACAGUCUCUAUAUUAAAAAAGUCUCUUUCAGAAAAUGUGAAAUCAGACAUCUACAAUUUUAAAACAAGAUAAAACUAUGGGAAAGAACACAGGACAACCUUCUAACUGAAUGAUGAAAUAAUAAGAUAAAAUGGACCAGGUUGUUCUAACAUCAUUGAUUACUGAAGAAGGGAGGAGCUACAUUUACUCAGGAGUGUUUUACCUGAAAACACCAGGUUUCAUGGAUUAAUAACUACAGCUGUUCCCACUCCCUAGCUUGAGAUGACA